ACAGUUCCCUCUGAUUUGCUGAAACUGAACAGCUUCCCAGGGCUGAAUGUCCUAUUGGGGGACUGUGACCUCUCCGGGCCACUCGAGGGAGAGGUGGAGGUCCCUGUGGAGCCUUGCGCUCCGGUUGCCACUGCUGGCUCUUUUUUCACCUCAGGCGACUUCAAGAACUUCAGAAACCCUGGGAGCUUCGCCUCUCCUCCCGUCGGGGACUGGGCUGGUGAGCGUGAGGUGCCGGAGGAGAACUUCCCCUGGAGAGGGAUGAUCUGCUUUAGCUUCAUCACGUUGUUGUUCCCCAACAGGGAGCUGGGUCUCUUGGGCUUAUCUCCCGCCUUUCCCCCCGAUGCUUUGUCAUGGUGGUGCUGGUGCUGGGCGUCGGCCCUGUGCUCACUCUCCUGACGGGCCUCCGCCUGAAGCUCGGCCUGGCGCUGAAGUUCCUCCUCGCGCCGGCGUCUGAGCUGGUGUUGAAAGUGCUGCUGGGCCUGCUGUUCAUGCUUCUGAAGGAGAGGUGUGUUAAAAUGAAGACACAAUAGGAGAAGGAGUCACAGGUAGAAAAAGAAACACACAGUGAUAGAGACAGUAGAAGGCUUCCAUAAACAAAAUGUGUUUACAAUAAACGUGUUUUUCUAUCUUGAUAAGACAUAUCUAAGACAACAACAGGACAAGUGCUGCUGAUGUGAUACUUUAUACAGACACACACAUACAGUUAUUUCUACUGGAAGUCAGAAAGAGCUGCACCAGUCUAUAUUUGUUGCCAAAUGAACACAAAGAGACCCGGGGACACAAAGGUGUUCGUAUAUAGAAAUACGAUUCCAGCAAGCCUUGGUUUGGCCGAAGGUCUUUCAAGCUAUGACACAAUCAUACCUUGAAAGCUUCCCUUCGUCGGUACUCUAGCUUGGCCAUCUCUUCUGCUACCCAGCCAGGGAUAUCAGGGAUGGCAACAUGGAUGAUGUACUUUAGGAGGAUUGCAAAGUGCUGUAAACCACCGAGACCACAAAGGGACAGGCUCAACACAGUGCAAGUAGAGUGCGCACCUCCAGUAAGACGAUGGAGAUGAUGGUCAUCUCGGGACUCAACCAGGGGAACAGACGCUGCAGCUGCCCACACUGACCAAUCAGUUCCAAGCAGAGCAGCAUGGCGAGGAAGACGAAGCAGAGGCAGAGGAUGCAGAUUGGCAGGCUGACCAGCCAUCUGAACAUCGCUCUCUUCCAGGGCGGGUAGUAGAACUCUUCGCAGCCCGUUACUGGGCUGCAGUGCUUCACGCCCUGCAGAGAUGGAGAAGGAGAAAACAAGAAAGCAGGGAGGGUAUCAGACUCUAUUUUUAUAUCUGCAAUCAUCUACAAGAAAAAUGGAUUUGAAAUUAUUGUGCAAAAUGUACUGCAUAAUAACAGCUUGCUCGCCUGAUUGCAUUUAUAUUUAUGGUGUUUCAUGUCAGGUUAAAGAAAUACUCCCUCAUUCUGCAAACGACCCAUUUCAGAAUGAUAAAUAUUUUUAUAUUAGUGAACCAUAAAAGAAAUGUGUUCAUCACUUUAAUGUACAGCUGGUAGAUGGUGGAAGUGUGUGUCCCUGUGAGUGUGUGUGGUUUUAGUAAUGCUAACCCUGUGUGAAGAGGAGGGUCUGCAUUCUGCAAACAUCAAUGCCCAAAUGUCCUUAUUACAGAUAUAAAGUUUACCUUGAGCUGCAAAAAAAUACAAUAUUUGUUUUUGGAUAUUGUGGAGACUUGGGUGGCAGUUUAUGGCAAUAGUCAAGAUACUUCAAAAUACUUGAACAAAAACCACCAAUCCCACAUAAGCAAUUGCAAUCACAUAGGUUUUUUUCAUAUCAUUAUGGUAUAUGAUUCUGAAUCAACACGGUUAUUGGUCCAAGAAUUUUCUUCCUAAAAAUGUUUACGCCCAACGUGGGGCUCGAACCCACGACCCUGAGAUUAAGAGUCUCAUGCUCUACCGACUGAGCUAGCCGGGCCUGAUCCAGCUUUCACACACAUGUCUUCUUGUUGGGGCGUCCCACAGUCCCCCUCCCCUUGUAUCUCUAUUCAUUCCACACAACAGGAGGUGGAGUAAGGCGGGAAAGAGGCUGCCCCCUCCCAAUCCUCUGAGACCACGUGGGGUAUUAAGACACUCUACUUGUAGACAUAAGGAUCACAUUUCCUGGUAUUGUGUGCCACUGAAAAGUUGCGCAAGUGCACGCUGAUCAACCACUCAGACUGACAUACAUUGCAAGUUUACGUUAGGAUAGGGAGAUAAUACAUUUAAAUGUCUGUAGGUAAUAUGAUUGAUGCAUGAGACUUUGUGAGAAGUUUUUAGCUUUAUCAAAGAGUGGCGAUGAAUGCUUGAUCGUAAAACUAGGCAAAUACAGCAGGAAGGAAUACAACGUUUUACUAAACCACAACAAAAACACCACCUGCUCAAACUUCAGUAACAAUCCUUACCCUGAACUGUGGCCUGGGCUCCUCCAAAGACUCGGCGGGGGUGUCCAGGGUGCCCCACCUGUACGCCAGCUCUGCCUCUCUCCUCUUCCAGCGCUCCAGAAACAACGUCGCCCACACAACAUUGAAGAGGGCAAAAACCACACAGCAGAUAUCCUGACUGGUCUGGGUUGCCUUUCACACACAGCCUGGACCCAAGACGUCAUCAGCUGGUUGAGGAUCCUCUGCUCGUGGAGAGGAAACAUUUGAUGGAUCACCCCCCGAGCCACCAGCUCUGGAACUAAAGAGGACACAUCAUGAAACAUUACAUUCGGAACAUAUUGACAAAUGUUGUCCCUCCAGGAAGUGAAUGUUGUGGAGCACCUCCCCCUGUUUGGCUCGCAGAUUGUCCAGCCAAUACUUUAUGAUGCCCUGACGCUCCUGCAAACCAUUACAGGAAAAGCGCCGCAUCCCGCCACCAAACUGCGGUUUGACAGCCUUGUACAUGCCCAUCUGCUCGGCUCCCCGCAGGAGGCUGAGGGUGAGGAGAGAGGGGUAAUGAACAGCAGGAUUAAACCUGAUGGAGCACUCACACUGUGGUGAGCUGGACUGCAGAUGUUUGACGGAUUAAGGGUACGCAAACAACAAACUGUAACACUAACAGCUCUAACUGAGUGAUAAUUCUUAGUGGAUUUUUUCCUUCAUUUCCUGAAGCCUGCUCAAAGAAAUAGUUUGCCAUAUUGGUAGAUGAAACAGUUGUUGCCACUUUCAGGUGUGUGCACUAAAUAUGAAGCUAGAGCUGCUAGUCAAUUAGCUUAGCUUAGCACUAUAACUGGAAUGCAUGACUGAGUAGAAAAAGUUACCCUGUCCCUGUCCAAAAAUAAUAAUGGCAGUUUAAUAACAACAAUUUGUGAUUUCACAAGUUUUUAUUAUGUUGAACUAUUCCUUUUCCUUUAACAGGGGCAUUUAAAACAAAAACAAAAAAAUGCAAACACAUAUGGCUGACUGAUCCUAAUUAACAUCAUUAACUAUUUCCUUGAAUAUGCAGUUAAAUGCUAAGUUAAAAGUUUUCGGAUAACCAAAAAAACAUAAGACAGAAUUUUAAGUGCCCACACAUGCAUGCACUAACACACACACUCACACAGUCAGAGUGUGAGUUUUGGAGUUUGGAGUCUUACUUCUCAAACGUUGUCGUGAUGAAGAAGGCGUUUGCCUGGGUGUGUUUGUGCUGCCGGACCUGAAUGCUAACUUGUGGGAUUCCUACACGGAUCUGGUUUAGGAGCCACAGCAGAGUGUGGUCAUCUAUUGUAUCUGGAGGGAGAGGAGAAAGUGUUUUAGUUUAAGUCUCAUAGUGGAUCCGAGCAUAGAAAUAAAUAUUUCAAAACAAAAGGUUUUUUUGGUUUAACACUAGUUCUUUACAUGUUUGCAGAGAUGUUUGCCAAAAGCAGGAAGUGAUGAUAUAAAGAGGCUGAACCCGACCCUUCUUUCACCGCCCCGACAGAAGGGUGUAGAAGCAGUGGGCUGGUGGUGUUAGUUAAAAGUCACUCCGACUAAAUCGCUCUAUAAAUAUAUCACAGAGUAAUUUCCUAUAGUUUGAAUAGAAGGGCCAGACUGCUUCCAGACGUUUCUGCCAUCUGUAGCCAGGAUAUUGUGUUUCAAUUUGGCUACUUUGUGUACCUUUUGUAUCAUCAUAAUGAGACUAGUUGAUACCUUCAAUUGAACAAACUGACAUUUAAAGGAAAGUGACUGAUAUUUCUACUGUGUAUGGGCUGAAUGUUAGCUAACAGCUCUUUCCGUGAUAUUUAGCAUUAGGUUUUUAACUGGUUAAUAUUUAUAAUCAUAAAAACAAACAAUGUUACCUAAAUGUAUCUUGUAUACUUAAAUGUAGCCUUUUUUAAACCAGAAAAUCUACAUUUAAGUAUACUUGCUUUACACCUCAACUAAAACCUGUGAGAAUUGCAUUAUAAGUUUCAAGCAGUAUUUUAUAUUAUUUUUAAGGUAUACAUACAUAGUUUAUAUGGAAGCAAUGAAAGCAGUUGAAGUGAAAAAGAUAGUGUGUAAAAAAAGUGUCAG
Eleginops maclovinus (Patagonian blennie) is the source of this 4474-nucleotide long non-coding RNA. RefSeq lists it as uncharacterized. NCBI's taxonomy places the organism in Eukaryota, Metazoa, Chordata, Actinopteri, Perciformes, Eleginopidae. The record is from RefSeq and is a predicted model, not a curated record. The transcript is spliced from 6 exons.